GAUGAACGCUGGCGGCGUGCCUAAUACAUGCAAGUCGAGCGAACAGACGAGGAGCUUGCUCCUCUGACGUUAGCGGCGCACGGGUGAGUAACACGUGGAUAACCUACCUAUAAUACUGGGAUAACUUCGGGAAACCGGCGCUAAUACCGGAUAAUAUAUUGAACCGCAUGGUUCAAUAGUGAAAGACGGUUUUGCUGUCACUUAUAGAUGGAUCUGCGCCGCAUUAGCUAGUUGGUAAGGUAACGGCUUACCAAGGCGACGAUGCGUAGCCGAGGUGAGAGGGGGGUCGGCCGCACUGGAGCUUAGACACGGUCCAGGCUCCUACGGGAGGCACCAGUAGGGAAUGUUCCGCAGUGGGCGAAAGCAUGACGGAGCAACGCCGCGUGAGUGAUGACGGUCUUCGGAUCGUAAAACUCUGUUAUUAGGGAAGAACAGAUGUGUAAGUAACUAUGCACGUCUUGACGGUAACUAGUCAGAAAGCCACGGCUAACUACGUG
RNAcentral lists this ribosomal RNA (497 nucleotides) under uncultured bacterium. RNAcentral describes it as "partial 16S ribosomal RNA". It matches the Rfam family "Bacterial small subunit ribosomal RNA", at positions 28 to 507 of the family's 1533-position model. The record is from RNAcentral.